Molecule: transfer-messenger RNA, 400 nt
Filed under: Aggregatimonas sangjinii
Lineage: Bacteria; Pseudomonadati; Bacteroidota; Flavobacteriia; Flavobacteriales; Flavobacteriaceae
Description: Standard tmRNA
Rfam family: transfer-messenger RNA
About the family: Bacterial tmRNA, also known as 10Sa RNA or SsrA, is named for its dual tRNA and mRNA-like properties.
Source: Rfam by way of RNAcentral
GGGGCCGACUGGUUUUGACAGCGAGACCAAUUGGAAUAUAAGCAUGCCGAGCGCCGGUCAACAGCUCGUUAAUCUCAUUUUCCACACUUUUAAUUGGCGAUAAUAACUACGCUCUUGCCGCUUAAUCCGAAUUACAGUAGGAUUUAGCCUCGUUCCGACAAGGUCGGAAAGCGAGAUGUCCCUGAAUAGCCCUUGUUGGCGGCGAUUCUCAAAGGGGCACCAGAAAAGUCAACACAAGGGUAGCAUUCGCUUUGGUGCUACCACCAAAAUCUAAAGAAGCUAAGCGUUGGUUGGGCCGUUUCCGGUCAGGCCUGCGUCGAAAAUCAAUCGGAAACUAAGCAUGUAGAAAGUAUUGCGAUUGCUUGUUUGGACGAGGGUUCGAAUCCCUCCGGCUCCACCU